AAAUUUACCUGGCAGGAGAGAUACCAUGAUCAUGGAGAUGAUUUUCCCAGGGCGAGGCUUAUCCAGUGCACUGUGGAUGUGCUGAGCCCUCCGAUGUUCUUAAAUGUGGGAACCUUGACCGCAUAAUUUGUCAGUGGGGGACUGUGUUCAUGCUUUCUCCUG
This is a small nuclear RNA of Otolemur garnettii (small-eared galago), 162 nucleotides long. Its record names the gene U1. It matches the Rfam family "U1 spliceosomal RNA". From Rfam's summary of the family: U1 is a small nuclear RNA (snRNA) component of the spliceosome (involved in pre-mRNA splicing). Its 5' end forms complementary base pairs with the 5' splice junction, thus defining the 5' donor site of an intron. Lineage: Eukaryota; Metazoa; Chordata; Mammalia; Primates; Galagidae. The record is from Ensembl.